Molecule: non-coding RNA, 507 nt
Organism: Struthio camelus australis
Lineage: Eukaryota; Metazoa; Chordata; Aves; Struthioniformes; Struthionidae
Source: RefSeq, a predicted model, not a curated record
CGAGAAAAUUCCAAUGUUUUAGUAUCAAAAAGAUUACUCCCUCUUACUCUCAGAAAACUGUAAAGAAGUGACCAAAUUACUAAUCCAGCCACAAGAGAUGGACCUGAAAGCAGACCUGUUAACAACAGUUCCAGCUCCCUUCCCCGCUAACAGUACAGAUGCCUCACUGUUGUGGGAGCUGUUGGAUCAGAUGUCCCUUUUCUUUCUCCCUCCACUUUUUCCAAGUCAAACUAGGUUUUUAAUAUUAUGAUGUGUCACAACAUAUCUCCUGCUUUUUCCAUCUCUAGUCUCAAUGCUGGACAUUGUAGCUUCAGGUUCAACCCCUGUUUUCUGCACAGAAGUAGAACAGAAGAAGCUGUUUUUACUUCCCCUUUUAAUCAGGCUGGGAAAGAACCACUGGCUUUUGGCACAAAGUGGUGGAGGCUGGGUGCAAGAGAAUUCUAGAGGUCAAGAAAUUCAUCUGACCCUACUUCAUUUUGCACAAGGAGGGAAAAAAAAAAAAAAAGA